AGUGGAAGCGUCUGGAAAGGCGCGCGAUACAGGGUGACAGCCCCGUACACAAAAGCGCAUGUGCUGUGAGCUCGAUGAGUAGGGCGGGACACGUGGUAUCCUGUCUGAAUAUGGGGGGACCAUCCUCCAAGGCUAAAUACUCCUGACUGACCGAUAGUGAACCAGUACCGUGAGGGAAAGGCGAAAAGAACCCCGGCGAGGGGAGUGAAAAAGAACCUGAAACCGUGUACGUACAAGCAGUGGGAGCACAGGUUUACCUGUGUGACUGCGUACCUUUUGUAUAAUGGGUCAGCGACUUAUAUUCUGUAGCAAGGUUAACCGUAUAGGGGAGCCG
RNAcentral lists this ribosomal RNA (334 nucleotides) under Salmonella enterica subsp. enterica serovar Typhimurium var. 5-. RNAcentral's name for it is "bacterial LSU rRNA". It matches the Rfam family "Bacterial large subunit ribosomal RNA", at positions 331 to 668 of the family's 2925-position model. The record is from RNAcentral. Lineage: Bacteria; Pseudomonadati; Pseudomonadota; Gammaproteobacteria; Enterobacterales; Enterobacteriaceae.